UGUAAAUUUAGUAAUAGACAACUGGUCAGAAAUAUCGCGAAUGGCCAUAAAAAGUCACAUGACGGAAACAGAUGAAUAGAAGAUGAUUUUUUUUUUAAAGGUAUAAAUACUUUUACAUUUUUAGAUGAAUAGAAGAUGAUUUUUUUUUAAAGGUAUAAAUACUUUUACAUUUUUUAAACAGUAGACUGUCGUAUUGAACAUCUUGACAGUUGAAAUGUUAGAAAAAAAGUGACGUGACAUUCAGACAAGUAUGGUGACCCUUACUCAGAAUUUGUGCUCUGCAUUUAACCCCUCCAAAGUGCACAGUAGUGAACUCACACCCGGAGUGGGCAGCCAUUUAUGCUUCGGUGCCCAAGGGAGCAGUUGGGGGUUCAGUGCUUUGCUCAAGAACACCUCAGUCAUGGUAUUGCCAGUCGAGAUUCAAACCCACAACCUUAGGGCUAAGAGUCAAACUCCCUAACCACUAUGCCACGACUUCCCCGAAAGCAACAUAAUAUACUUUUCUAAUAUAUAUGUAUUAUCAAUAUUAGUAGAUUUAAAAUGUAUUUUUAGCCCUGGACAAAAUACUUCAUUUCCCAGCAACCCGUGGGAAAGGAAGAAAUGAAUUUCAACUUUCAAUUUAUCUUAGCCUCACUCGUCCAUCACUAACAUACAGAAGCAACAGUUUGGAAAUAUUUGUCUGAAUGCGACGACCAGUUUAUAGAGUUCAAAGAGCAAACAAUGGACAUUCAGGGUGUAACUGGAGGGUAAGUUUUGCAUUGUGGGUUUUAAAUGGCAGACGAGGGCGUAUGUUCGUAGUUUUGGCAUACAUGCGUUUAAAUCUUUGGCGAAAAUUCAAUUGUAGUGCAGUCCAAGACGCUUGUGUUGAUGGCCAAAGAAUCCUGGUUAGACUCUUCCCUGCGCCGUUCAUCUAAACUUGGGCAGGAGGUGUUGAAAAAAGCAAAGAGACAAUCUGUUAGCUGCUCAAGUACAAUACCAAGUUCAUCACCCGUGUUCAACCACAAUGAAAUAAACUCAGAGAGUGAAAUUUUCCAUUCAGAAUUGGACCAUGCUUUUUCAAAAAUAGUUGAGUACAUGUCAGAAACCACCAGACAAUGCAAGGUGAAAAUGUUUUGUUCAUUAACUUGCACUUUGAGAUUUGAAUGAGAAAAAAAUCUGUUAUCUCUUUGACAGAAGUUUUAUGAGACUAUGCACCUUGCUCAGCCCAGAGAGCGAGAACACAUCUGUCGCUACCAUUCCCAGCAGAUGUUGAGGACCGCAGACCAGAAACAGAAUGCUAGUGCAGCCAUCAGAUGAGACACUGUAAGUACUGAACUUGACAAAAAUAUAUGCCAUACUUUUUUGCCAUUAUAGGGAUUUCCACACUUGAAAUAGUUAACCCUGGGUCAUUCUAAACCUCAGUUAGAUGGAAUACUGGGUUAUCUUGCUUCACGUUUCACACUGCUCAAAAUUUAUUUGGGGUUAAAAAUUAAUCCUGGGUAUUCGUAUGCUGACAUUUCAAACUGUACAUUUCUAAACCAGGUGUUGAUGUUCUUUGCAUAUUUGAAGAGUCUGUGUCAUUGCUUGGACGCAUGCAGUCUGUUUACAUAAAACCAUACAUAGGCUGUUGCAAUUGCUAUCAAGUUUUUCAGUGACUGUCCAAAGCACAUGAAUAUGAGCCGGGUGAUCAGGUGUCUGUUGCUAAUUAUCUAGUUGUAACAUUCUAACACCACAUUGCUUCACACUGGACAUGUUUGGUUAAUGGUGCAACAGUGCUCCAGUGAAGAGUUUCAUAACCUGGGUAAAAAGCAGUUCUAACUCUGCUUCCACAGUACAAGUGGGAAAUGUUCCAUUACCCAGUUUUAAAAGCUGACGAUAAAUUGGGGUCACAGUGUGAAAUGUCAUAUUUUGUAUGAACUUAACGUAUAAGCAUAGUAAAUCAUGUUGGUUUUGAGCAUAGAGGAACUAUAUUUAACCAGGCCAUAUUUACAAAGUUUAUUCUGCAAAUCCACUCUUUUGGUUCAUCUACAUAUUUGUUUGAAGGGGUCAUCAGAACCAGAGGAUUUCUUCAUUGAAGUGUCUCCAGGCACCUAUUCCAUCACAGCAGCAAUGCAGGACACAAAGUCACAGACGAAAACUGUCCACAUCUAUGCAGAAGAAAGCAUGAGUCUUACAUUCAAACUCGGAACCUCACCUGUAUAUUAUUAUAUCUAAAAUAAAGUGACUUAAUUGAG
Carassius auratus (goldfish) is the source of this 2213-nucleotide long non-coding RNA. RefSeq lists it as uncharacterized. NCBI's taxonomy places the organism in Eukaryota, Metazoa, Chordata, Actinopteri, Cypriniformes, Cyprinidae. The record is from RefSeq and is a predicted model, not a curated record. The transcript is spliced from 2 exons.